AUGGCCAAGUUAAUAGGGAGGGAUUUUAGCCGGGUUCUGACUACAGCAAGAGGAACCGUAGGAUACCUUGCACCUGAAUGGAUAAGCGGGGUUGCUAUCACAACAAAAGUCGAUGUUUAUGGCUAUGGGAUGGUGCUAAUGGAAAUCAUAUCAGGAAGACCGAAUUCACUUGAACAAUACACUGCAGAUGGUGAUUGUGAUGUUUUCUUCCCUGUGCAUGCUGCGCAUAUGCUUGUUGAGGGAGAUGUGGCAAGCUUGGUGGAUGACAAACUAUUGGGUGAUGUGAAUAUGGAGGAAGCUGAACGGCUAUGCAAGGUUGCUUGUUGGUGCAUUCAAGAUGAUGAGUUUGAUAGGCCGACAAUGGGCGAAGUUGUUCGUACUCUAGAGGGUUUAUCUGAUCUUGACAUGCCUCCUAUUCCAAGACUACUUCAGGCCAUUACAAGGAGGAGCUUGCACCCGCCAUCCACCUACUCCUACCUCUAUAAUGAAUCAGAAUAA
Molecule: ribosomal RNA, 498 nt
Filed under: Triticum aestivum (bread wheat)
Lineage: Eukaryota; Viridiplantae; Streptophyta; Magnoliopsida; Poales; Poaceae
Description: partial small subunit ribosomal RNA
Source: RNAcentral